Long non-coding RNA from Pristis pectinata (smalltooth sawfish), 2603 nucleotides. RefSeq lists it as uncharacterized. The transcript has 4 exons. Lineage: Eukaryota; Metazoa; Chordata; Chondrichthyes; Rhinopristiformes; Pristidae. The record is from RefSeq and is a predicted model, not a curated record.
UGCGCCAGGUCGGAUAGCCUGGGGCUGGAGUCGGUUGCCCAGCGUAACACUCGAUUGGCUGAGUGACGGAGCAGUGACGGACGCGCUGACGCGUCCCCCCAGCCACCGCCGGCCCAAUCAGCUGAAACUCACCUUUGUGCCUUGUUCGCGUUCCUUUCCGUUCAAACGAAUGGAGAAGCCGUUCCCGGACCGGCCGGGCUUGGGUUUCCCACCGUGGAAUUGCUGUAGACUUCGUGCUCACGGACUGUUGACAGUGGCUUUGAGACUUCUGCGGAAAUGCUGAGGCAAUCACUCAAGAUCAAGGAUGAUGUGAAUUCCGAGAUGGAUCAUGAGGGCAAUGUGGAACCCACAGACUGUGACAGCUCGACCAGACACACAGUGCUGGAUCUCACAAAGGAACCUUGAUGAUCCAAUCAGUGACUGAGCAGGAUGUGGAAGGAUGAUCAAGCAUUGCUACGAAGAGGGCAGAAUUGUGAGUAAAGAACGAUCAGUACUUGAACCGUCGCUGACUUCCCAAAAGCUUGUUCGUCAAGUUCACACAUCCCAGUUUGAUACAAGAAUGAAAAAUGGGAAGGCAAUUUAAAAAUGAGUAUUUGACAAGGGGUUUAAAAAUAAAACUACAGGAUAUAAAAUUCCUGACUAUUGCAUUAUCACAAAUGGGGAUUUUCCAUGUUCUGUGUUGGUUCUUGAGAGUAUUAUACAUUUAUAAAAGUUAAUUCCAUGCAAAGAUAAAUUGGAUAUUAAUUACUAUUAGAUAUGCAACACAUUAAACACAUAUGCUAUAAGCUCAAAGUUAUAAGCUGAAAUAUCGCCAGAUUUACCACCAAUAAUGCCACAAAUUAUAUACUGGUAUUAUCUUAAGUAAUCUAGUAUUGGGUUUGUCCCAAAUUCUUGACAUACGGACAUAAGAUUUAAGGGAUGCUAAGAAACAUGGACUUGAGCAAUUGGGACCAAGACUUUCAGCUCCACAAUUUUCAAACAAUAAAGAGGUGGGACAAUUAAACAAAGCUUCUUCUGUAUUAUUUUCUCUGCCAAAGACAUUAUCAUGGAUACAGUAGCAGAAUGGCUAAGUUACUGGACUAACAUUCAGAGGUUUUUACUUUUGAACUACAAAGAAGGUUGGGGAACAUAAUUUCAAGGAAUAAAUCUGAUAAAAACUUGCAUUGGUAAUAGUAACAUGAAAUUAUCAGAUGGUUGCAAAAAAAAAUUAUUUAUUUCAGGGAAGGAAAUCUGUCUUUCCUGGUCUGGGUGGUACCCAAUUCCAGACCCAAUAAUAUGGUUGUCUCUUAACUGUCUUCUGAAAUUGCCUAGCAAGCCACCUCCUUAGGAAUGGCUCACACUUAACAUUUGUAUGAACAAGUUUAAAGGCCUUUGAGAAUUUAAACAAGAUGUUAGAUACAUGGAAGUUUUGAUUUAACAUUGGAUGCACUGUGCAUGAAAUCCUUCUUUAAGAUUACUUUUUUACUCCCUGCACAAGGCUUAAUUACAGAUAUUUGGAUAUUACCAAAAAAAAAAGAUUCAGUGAUUAUUUGAAAGAAAUGCACACAUCAUAGCAGGUGGGUAAGCUUGGUAACUGGGUUCAAUAUGGAUGUAUGCCAGGCCACCAUUAUCACUAUUAUUAAAUUGAGAAAAUCACUUUACACAAAAGCAGUGUGAGAACUUCAUUUCUGUUAUUGAGUCCAUGCUGUGACCUUCUGCAAUGACAGCAGGCUGGAUUUCUCAAUAAAAGUUGAAGCACUGCCAGUAACUGCAUUAAGCUCUCCUGUCAAACAAUAGGAAUUCAAUAAAUAAAAAAAAUAAUUGCAGCUCAUUAACCAACACUGCUGGACGCAUGUUCUUUAGGUCCAAGAAAAUAUAAGGCGUCAUCACAUAAAGUUCCUGACAAAAGAAAUGCCCAAAAUCUCUGCUUGUGCUGCUUAGGAGGAUAACGUACAGGGCAAUUCUCUUCCCCAUGUUAAAUCACCAAACCUCUAUGAAGUACCUUUCCCUUUCAGCAAUGCACCAUAGAUCAGGAAUUUACUUCUCUCAAAAAGCAAAAUGCUAAAAAUAUUAAAUAAAAACAGAAAGUGCUCAGGAUACUUAGUAUAUCACUGAUGUCCCUUUACCAAAAUGUUUAACUCUCGAUGAAUAGGAACUGAUUAAAAAGGAAUGGUUCUCUUCCACAAAUGUCAUUCAUAAUUGCUCAUACUAGAUUUUUUUUUUUAACUCAGCUCCAAAGAACAAAAAAAUAUUUUAGUAGGUAAACUGCCUUAUCCUGGAACAUCAUACCGUUCAAUGUUUUGAUGACCUGUGUAGUUUCUGCUUAUUAAACACAUGCAAUGCCCUUUUUUUGAGUUGGAAACAGGUCAUAUUACUGACAACGUUAUAUGGUUCCCAGGAUUUUGAAAGCAGCAUCAUAAAACAAACUUAUUAGUGUGAUUUUUAACUUGGUUUGCAUCCACUAAACCUAAUAAUUAGCUUAUGAUGUUAAUAGUAAGAGCUAUCAUUAAUACAUUCACCCUGCGUAUUUAACUUUGACUGUGAUGCAGUUAGAAUUAUGUCUGAUGCCUCACUGUGGGAAACAAUAUGCUAACUAUUAUUUUUGUUUUCUGAUGGAUACACAA